AACGAACGCUGGCGGCAUGCCUAACACAUGCAAGUCGAACGAGACCUUCGGGUCUAGUUGCGCACGGGUGCGUAACGCGUGGGAACCUGCCCUUAGGUUCGGAAUAACUCCCCGAAAGGGGUGCUAAUACCGGAUAAUGUCUUCGGACCAAAGAUUUAUCGCCUUUGGAUGGGCCCGCGUUGGAUUAGCUAGUUGGUAGGGUAAAAGCCUACCAAGGCGACGAUCCAUAGCUGGUCUGAGAGGAUGAUCAGCCACACUGGGACUGAGACACGGCCCAGACUCCUACGGGAGGCAGCAGUGGGGAAUAUUGGACAAUGGGCGAAAGCCUGAUCCAGCAAUGCCGCGUGAGUGAUGAAGGCCUUAGGGUUGUAAAGCUCUUUUACCCGGGAUGAUAAUGACAGUACCGGGAGAAUAAGCGACGGCUAACCCCGUG
RNAcentral lists this ribosomal RNA (433 nucleotides) under uncultured bacterium. RNAcentral describes it as "partial 16S ribosomal RNA". It matches the Rfam family "Bacterial small subunit ribosomal RNA", at positions 29 to 507 of the family's 1533-position model. The record is from RNAcentral.